UAGAAAAGAUACUGUGCAUCCUAGGAGGA
RNAcentral lists this non-coding RNA (29 nucleotides) under Rattus norvegicus (Norway rat). Lineage: Eukaryota; Metazoa; Chordata; Mammalia; Rodentia; Muridae. The record is from RNAcentral.